CCUACGGGAGGCAGCAGUGGGGAAUUGUUCGCAAUGGGCGCAAGCCUGACGACGCAACGCCGCGUGGAGGAUGAAGAUCUUCGGGUCGUAAACUCCGGACACCAUCUACCCGGUACCGCUAAAGGAAGCCCCGGCUAACUCCGUGCCAGCAGCCGCGGUAAUACGGGGGGGGCAAGCGUUGUUCGGAAUUACUGGGCGUAAAGGGCUCGUAGGCGGCCAACUAAGUCGGACGUGAAAUCCCCAGGCUCAACCUGGGAACUGCGUCCGAUACUGGAUGGCUUGAAUCCGGGAGAGGGAUGCAGAAUUCCAGGUGUAGCGGUGAAAUGCGUAGAUAUCUGGAGGAAUACCGGUGGCGAAGGCGGCAUCCUGGACCGGAUUGACGCUGAGGAGCGAAAGCCAGGGGAGCAAACGGGAUUAGAUACCCUUGUAGUC
Molecule: ribosomal RNA, 432 nt
Filed under: uncultured bacterium
Lineage: Bacteria
Description: partial 16S ribosomal RNA
Rfam family: Bacterial small subunit ribosomal RNA
Source: RNAcentral